RNAcentral lists this ribosomal RNA (468 nucleotides) under uncultured bacterium. RNAcentral's name for it is "partial 16S ribosomal RNA". It matches the Rfam family "Bacterial small subunit ribosomal RNA", at positions 28 to 507 of the family's 1533-position model. The record is from RNAcentral.
GACGAACGCUGGCGGCGCGCUUAACACAUGCAAGUCGAACGGAAAGACCCUGCUUUUGUGGGGUGCUCGCGUGGCGAACGGGUGUGUUACACGUGAGUAACCUGCCCUUGACUUUGGGAUAACUUCAGGAAAGUGGUGCUAAUACCGGAUAGGAGCUCCUGCUGCAUGGUGGGGGUCGGAAAGUAUCGGCGGUUGGGGAUGGACUGGCGGCUUAUCAGCUUGUUGGGUGGGUAGUGGCUUACCAAGGCAUUGACGGCUAGUCGGCCUGGGAGGGUGACCGCCGACAUUACGACUGCGAUAGGCACCAGUCUGCAACGGUAGGCAGAAGUGGGGAAUAUGACCCAACGGGCGGAAGCCUGAUGCAGAAACCCCGCGAGCGGGAUGACGGCCUUCGUGUGGUAAACCGCUGUCACCUAUGACGUAGCGUGAGUGACGGUAAUGAGUAAAGAAGCACCGGCUAACUACGUG